This 308-nucleotide long non-coding RNA is filed under the name Zostera marina. Its description in RNAcentral is "long non-coding RNA (ZMAR_LNC003199)". The record is from RNAcentral. Lineage: Eukaryota; Viridiplantae; Streptophyta; Magnoliopsida; Alismatales; Zosteraceae.
ACAGGCAAAGGAAGACCUUGUCGGUUAAAAGUAUCGUCAAUCGCGUGACCGACAGGCACAGCGAUAGGAUGUAAGAAGGCCAGCCUUUGUACAGAAGCUCCCUCAUCCUCGGUCAGAACAGGACGGGGAGUAGUCUUACGACCACUAGUGGAUGCAGGGAGAAGUCUGCUACCAGGACAUAGCCUGCAAUCCACAAAAAUAAACUCACUCUUGUUCCGCCUGGUCGGAGGAUCUUUCAAGAGAGCUGAGUGAGUGACAGAGGAGGCACGACUGGCACAUGCAAUGAAAGGGCUGCCCUUCUUCGGAUU